UAGGGACACCUCUUGUUUGACUGUCCUGAUAUGAGCACUUGCUCUGGUACCCUUUACCUAGUAGCAAUAAUUGCUCAUAUUUAGGUGGCACUUUCAAACACCAGCUCUGAUAAUAACAUCUAUAAACUGGAUAUCAUCACUUCUUUUGUAUAGAUGAUAAAAAUGUGACUGGAAGUGUUGGCAUUUGCACCCAUGUCUUCAUAUUACAGGUAUUAGGAUGCUUUGUUGGUGUUUAUUUAAAUUAAUUGCAACUGGCUUUAACUGCCUUGUCUUGAAUUUUUUUUUUUUUUUUUUUAAAGAGACAGGGUCUUGCUCUGCCACCCAGGCUGAGUGCAGUAACAUGAUUAUGACUCACUGCAGCCUCAAUCUCCUGGGAUCAAGUGAUCCUCCUCCCUCAGCCUCCCAGGCAGCUAGGACUCCAGGCAUGCACCAGUGCACCACUACAUCCAGACUCUACUUAUGUUCCAACAUCUUGGUGGGUUUCACUGAUCCUGUUUAGGUCUUAAAUAGAACUGGGAAAGAAGAAGGAACCAUGUGCUAGUCAUUCUGCCUCUUAUGCUACCUCCCUUGUCACAGUUUUUCAUCACCACAGUCCUCUGAACAGGUUGUAUCCUUCCCACUCAUAGAUGUGAAAAUCAGGCUCAGCGAGAUGACGUCCUUGCCAAAGGUCACAGUAUUAGUAACUUUGGCAAAAUUGGUGUCAGAAGCUCAAUCUUCUAGUUUAGUAACUCAUUCCACACCAUGGAUUGUACUUCUUAAACUAUAUAACAACAUGCACUUGGAGAGUUAUAAUUCUUACCUUCUAAUGUAGAAUUUUUGCUAGGAUCCUUUUACUGUAUUAGAAGAGCAUUACAGUUUAUUUCAAACCUGAUGAAUGUUUGAACUUAACUAUUUUUGAUCCAUUAACUCUAGAAACCACCAUCCCAAACUCCAUGGUUUGGAUCUAAUAACAACUUUGGGUUUCAUACAUGGCUUUACAUACACAGACACACACAGACACACACACACACACACACACACACACACACACACAGAGUCUUAAGACUCUGACCUGGAGACAUCGGAAGUAAAAGCCCAGAUUUAAGUCAUUUUUGGUGGUUGGUAAAUCCUCAGGUGUAGAAGCUCAUUACAAGGCUCUGUGUGUGUGUGUGUGUGUGUGUGUGUGUGUAAUCAUUGAUUAGAGAGAAGGUAUCUCUGACUUAACAAAUUAAAUAUGACAAUUAGGCUAUGAAGAGCAUCAACUCACUUGAGGCAAACUGUAGUGUUCUGGGAAUUAAAAAAAGGGAAAACUUACAAGAGAUUAAUCAUCAGCAUUUAUGUAUCAUCCAUCAUAAGCUAAACAAAGAAUUUUGGUUGUAUAAAUCAAUGGGACUUGGCUGAAUUCCUGGCCUAAUUAAUAAGCCA
RNAcentral lists this long non-coding RNA (1404 nucleotides) under Homo sapiens (human). RNAcentral describes it as "HSALNT0044299". Lineage: Eukaryota; Metazoa; Chordata; Mammalia; Primates; Hominidae. The record is from RNAcentral.